CUUUACUUAAUACUUUAUUAUAAACUGUAUAGAAGAUGUAACUUCUUGAGUAAGAUUUUAUUCCAAAUUGGGUAAUAUGACAUUCCUCUCUCUUACUGUUCAACGUUGGCCCUCCUAAAGUAUUUCCAGUGAGAUUAUCCCCGUUCCCCAAUUCUUUCCUUUUUUAGAGCCUCUGUGAGGAGAAUUGAGAGACAGGGUAUACUCUUAGAAAGGCCAAAUGACCCCUCUCUUCAUUUCUCUGCCAUCGUGGUAUGUGCUUUACUCCGUUUCUCGCCAUGUCUUCUCACAGGACUUUCAGGAUUAAGCGAUUCCUGGCCAAGAAACAAAAGCAAAAUCAUUCCAUUCCCCAGUGGAUUCGGAUGAAAACUGGUAAUAAAAUCAGGUACAACUCCAAAAGGAGACAUUGGAGAAGAACCAAGCUGGGUUUAUAAGAAAUGACACAUGAGAUGGCACACAUAUUUAUGCUGUCUGAAGGUCACAAUCAUGUUACCAAAUCAAGCUGAAAAUGUCACCCCUAUCUGGAGAAUUUUGAACAGAGUUUCCUCUCUCGAUCUGUUAUAAACGUGUUGGUUGGCUGGGUUCGGUAAUAAAUAUGUGAGACCUUUAAUUUCAAAAAAAAAAAAAAAAAAAGG
Sapajus apella (tufted capuchin) is the source of this 632-nucleotide long non-coding RNA. RefSeq lists it as uncharacterized. Lineage: Eukaryota; Metazoa; Chordata; Mammalia; Primates; Cebidae. The record is from RefSeq and is a predicted model, not a curated record. The transcript is spliced from 2 exons.